AUCCAGAGUAGGUCGAGACACGUGGAACCUUGACUGAAUAUGCGGGGACCACCCCGUAAGGCUAAAUACUCCUUAGUGACCGAUAGCGCAUAGUACUGUGAAGGAAAGGUGAAAAGGACCCCGGGAGGGGAGUGAAAAAGAACCUGAAACCAUAUGUUUACAAGCUGUGGAACAUCUUUAUAUGAUGAACCGCGUACUUUUUGUAGAACGGUCCGGCGAGUUACGCUGGCUGGCGAGGUUAAGCACUGAAGGUGCGGAGCCGAAGGGAAACCAAGUCUGAACAGGGCGAAAGUCAGUCGGAGUAGACCCGAAACCGGGUGAUCUAUCCAUGUCCAGGUUGAAGCGGAAGUAAAAUUCCGUGGAGGACCGGAUCCACAUCCGUUGAAAAGGGUGGGAAUGAGGUGUGGAUAGGGGAGAAAUUCCAAUCGAACCCGGAGAUAGCUGGUUCUCCUCGAAAUAGCUUUAGGGCUAGCCUCGUAUUAGUUUAGCGGAGGUAGAGCACUGAAUUCCUAAGGGGGCGUCAAAGCUUACCAAGGGAUAUCAAACUCCGAAUGCCGCAUAAAUGAUGUAUGGGAGUCAGACUAUCCGAGAUAAGUUGGGUAGUCGAAAGGGAAAGAGCCCAGACCUACAGCUAAGGUCCCAAAGUGUGUGUUAAGUGGAAAAGGAUGUGGGAUUUCAGAGACAACCAGGAUGUUGGCUUAGAAGCAGCCACACAUUCAAAGAGUGCGUAAUAGCUCACUAGUCGAGAGGUCCUGCGCCGAAAAUGUCCGGGGCUGAAACACACUGCCGAAGCUCAGGAAUCUGCGAAUGCAGGUUGGUAGAGGAGCAUUCUUAAAGAGACGAAGCUGUACCGAAAGGAGCAGUGGACUUUUAAGAAGAGAGAAUGCCGGAAUGAGUAGCGAGAUGGAGGUGGGAAUCCUCCAGGCCGAAUAUCCAAGGUUUCCAGAGUAAAGCUGAUCUGCUCUGGGUAAGUCGGGGCCUAAGGCGAGGUCGAAAGACGUAGUCGAUGGAUAACAGGUUGAAAUUCCUGUACUAUCCUGUAACAGAACUGUGGGGACGCAGACAGAGAGCACAAGCCGGGAAUGGAAAGACCGGUGCAAGCGAGGUAGGAGUACAUCAGGCAAAUCCGGUGUGCAAUCCGAAGACGUGAUGCGGAUCGAAAAGAAGUAGAGAAGUGUGUGAGCUGGCUGCCAAGAAAAGCCGCUAUUGUUUACAGGAUACCCGUACCGUAAACCGACACAGGUGGAUGAGGAGAGAAUCCUAAGGCCGACGGGAGAAGCAUUGUUAAGGAACUCGGCAAAAUGACUCCGUAACUUCGGGAGAAGGAGUGCCAUGCGAAUGGCCGCAGAGAAUUGGUCCAAGCAACUGUUUAGCAAAAACACAGGUCUAUGCGAAACCGAAAGGUGAGGUAUAUGGGCUGACGCCUGCCCGGUGCUGGAAGGUUAAGGGGAGAGGUUAGCGCAAGCGAAGCUUUGAACUUAAGCCCCAGUAAACGGCGGCCGUAACUAUAACGGUCCUAAGG
This 1522-nucleotide ribosomal RNA is filed under the name Bifidobacterium longum. RNAcentral's name for it is "partial 23S ribosomal RNA". It matches the Rfam family "Bacterial large subunit ribosomal RNA", at positions 405 to 1956 of the family's 2925-position model. Lineage: Bacteria; Bacillati; Actinomycetota; Actinomycetes; Bifidobacteriales; Bifidobacteriaceae. The record is from RNAcentral.